GAAAUGCGAUAAGUAAUGUGAAUUGCAGAAUUCAGUGAAUCAUCGAAUCUUUGAACGCACAUUGCGCCCGCCAGUAUUCUGGCGGGCAUGCCUGUUCGAGCGUCAUUUCAACCAUCAAGCCCCCGGCUUGUGUUGGGGCCCUGCGGCUGCCCGCAGGCCCUGAAAAACAGUGGCGGGCUCGCUGUCACACCGAGCGUAGUAGCAUACAUUCUCGCUCAGGGCGUGCUGCGGGUUCCGGCCGUUAAACGACCUUCAUAACCCAAGGUUGACCUCGGAUCAGGUAGGAAGACCCGCUGAACUUAAGC
RNAcentral lists this unclassified non-coding RNA (305 nucleotides) under plant metagenome. Its description in RNAcentral is "partial contains 5.8S ribosomal RNA, internal transcribed spacer 2, and large subunit ribosomal RNA". The stretch from base 1 to 105 matches the Rfam family "5.8S ribosomal RNA", at positions 50 to 154 of the family's 154-position model. The record is from RNAcentral.